Molecule: ribosomal RNA, 270 nt
Filed under: uncultured organism
Description: partial small subunit ribosomal RNA
Rfam family: Bacterial small subunit ribosomal RNA
Source: RNAcentral
GUGCCAGCCGCCGCGGUAAUACGUAGGGUGCGAGCGUUGUCCGGAAUUACUGGGCGUAAAGAGCUCGUAGGUGGUUUGUCGCGUUGUUCGUGAAAUCUCACGGCUUAACUGUGAGCGUGCGGGCGAUACGGGCAGACUAGAGUACUGCAGGGGAGACUGGAAUUCCUGGUGUAGCGGUGGAAUGCGCAGAUAUCAGGAGGAACACCGGUGGCGAAGGCGGGUCUCUGGGCAGUAACUGACGCUGAGGAGCGAAAGCGUGGGGAGCGAACA